GACUAUUCCGUAGCACCCACCCGAGUAGUCGUCCUCGUCCCUGCACUGCACGUCGAUCUCAGCUAUAUUAGCAAAGGUGCUGUAAAGUUGUUAGCAGUGUGUCAGCUUGGUGACCUGCCACAGAGUACCUUUGUGACGUCAUUCGCUAUGCUCCAGAUCGGAUGGGUGGUGCAGGACGCCCGACGACUCUCAUCUAUAUACAAUUCCCAGCAGCAGACAACUCCAACAUUCUGUAUUUAAUAUUUGAAUAUAUAUUUUUUAAUUUUCUGUCUGUGUGCCAAGGUGAGCUAUGCACCUGUUUAUUGUUACCUGCUGUGUCUCAUGUUAAGAAAACAUGUAUGGUCAAAAUAAAAACACUAGCUUUUAGUGUACAGGAUGGAUGUGAAUGUUAGUGAACAAAACAGGCCUGCUGUAUAUCAGAUGAUGUGUAUAUUCUUAAUGUUUUUAUGCUUACAAAGCUCUACUCAAGUUUCUUUUAAAGUUUUUGCUUGCAUUUCCUACACAAAUGUCAAAAUAAUAAAAAAUCUUUGUGCACUGAUA
This is a long non-coding RNA of Maylandia zebra (zebra mbuna), 540 nucleotides long. RefSeq lists it as uncharacterized. The record is from RefSeq and is a predicted model, not a curated record. NCBI's taxonomy places the organism in Eukaryota, Metazoa, Chordata, Actinopteri, Cichliformes, Cichlidae.